GGCAGUGUGGUUUAGUGGAAAGAGCCUGGGCUUGGGAGUCAGGGGUCAUGGGUUCUAUUCCCGGCUCUGCCA
Molecule: non-coding RNA, 72 nt
Organism: Ornithorhynchus anatinus (platypus)
Lineage: Eukaryota; Metazoa; Chordata; Mammalia; Monotremata; Ornithorhynchidae
Source: Rfam